GUGUAUUUGGAAAUAUCCCUAAUACAGGAUCACUUGGAUCCGUCGGCGAUGACGAGCGCGAAAGAAUGCGAAAAGUCCUCACGGAAUGCUCUAAUUAUGAGAUAAUCUCAUGGAUACUCCCUGGACUUAAGCAUAUCAUUAAGGGAAGGAAAAGAAACUAACUAGGAUUCCGUUAGUAGUGGCGAAUGAACACGGAAGAGCUCCAAUGGUAAAGCCUAAGUGCUGUUGUAAUGUAGCCUCCGAAAACAUUCUGGAAAGGAUGACCACAGUGGGUGAUAGUCCCAGAGGAGGAUGUAAAGAAUAGAGUAGUGCUGCUUGGUAGUGCAGUAUGAAGAGGAGGUAGAAACUUCUAAAGCUAAAUACAGACGGAUACCGAUAGAGAAGAAGUAGUGCGAACGAAAGUUGAAAAGAUCUCAUCUAGAGAAUGAAAAGUGAAAGUAUUAGGGCGUAAGCUGAUGACAUCAGACCCGUAUUGAAACACGGACCAAGGAGACUUUGAGUAUAGCGAGGCGAAGGAUGUGAAGUCCCCACCCGCGAGAAAUCUACAAGUUAUACUGAUAGGACCCGAAAGGCAGUGAACUAUACCUGCUCUGCUUGACGCCACGGCAAAACCGUGGUUGAAGAGCUAAGUCGUAAUGAUGUUCAACUCAUUGACAGGAAGUGGGUAUUAGGGCGAAAGAACAAUCGAACUGCCUGGUAACUGGGUCCGGGCCAAAUGUCUCUCAGAACGCCGGUGUCUGCAAAUAGAAAAAUUCGUAAAAAGAAGUUCAACUUGUCACAAAUCCAAAGGGUCAUUGGGUUGAUUGCCUCCCACUGUCUUCUUUAAAAACUUUGGGCGCUUUGGUAAACUGCCGCCCAAAGGGAGAAACCUCCGGGGUAAGGCCUAAGAAAAAAAAAAA
Molecule: non-coding RNA, 899 nt
Filed under: Enterocytozoon bieneusi H348
Lineage: Eukaryota; Fungi; Microsporidia; Enterocytozoonidae
Description: Archaeal large subunit ribosomal RNA
Rfam family: Archaeal large subunit ribosomal RNA
Source: Rfam by way of RNAcentral